CUCUAUGUGUGUGGCUACAAUAUAGUGGUGGUUUGUUCUUGUAGGAAUUCUUUAAUUUCAAGAAUGCCCUACACCAACUCAAUAUUUUAAAAGGAUAAAGUGAAAAUUGACCAAAAAUAAUUAAAACAAAUUUGAUUAAAAAUAAUCAAACUGUGAGUGGUUUAACUCGCUAUGAUAAAUCGUUUGAAUCAAAACGAUUUGUCGUUGACCAGAGCAAACAAAUGAUUCUAAAUGAGCUAACCCUAGCUCAGAUUCAAUCAAAUAACCUUCGAGAUUUAAACCAAAUCUCUUUCUCUCUUUCUUCCUCUUCAAACGAAACCUAGGAAUCCAGAUAGCCAACUCGAUCAAACCAGACCGAUAUCACUAGAACCUAUCCCCAAAAAAUAGAUCACAAUUAUACAAACACAAGUACAUGCAUCAAAAGAAAAAAAAAAUAGAGAAAACAAACACAGCGAUUAUAGAGGUUCGCCCUAAAUCCAGGGAUACUUCCUCUUUGAGCUCGCCUUGAAGAACGAUCUCAAAUCUACACUAUACUUUGAAGAAUAUUACAUAAGCUCAACACAUGAGCUCCUCUCUCUAAAUCUGGGUCUCACAUUUUUGGUAUUUCUACUCUGCUUUACGAUUGGUGAGGACUCCUCCUUUUAUAGCUGUUAUUACAAUUGUAAUUAGAGCAGAGGAAUUUUGGUUUGUACAACAAAAAUUAUGUUAGGAAGUAGUUGGAGUUUGUUAUUUCUGGUGAGUGAGAAUCAUGAGCCUUUUUAUUGUAUUUGCUUUUCUAUUUGGUUGUUGUAAGUAGCAAGUGAUAUAAAAGAAUUUAAUUUUUACA
This is a long non-coding RNA of Cannabis sativa, 826 nucleotides long. RefSeq lists it as uncharacterized. The transcript is spliced from 2 exons. Lineage: Eukaryota; Viridiplantae; Streptophyta; Magnoliopsida; Rosales; Cannabaceae. The record is from RefSeq and is a predicted model, not a curated record.